RNAcentral lists this ribosomal RNA (594 nucleotides) under Microchaetus papillatus. Its description in RNAcentral is "partial 16S ribosomal RNA". The stretch from base 1 to 509 matches the Rfam family "Bacterial large subunit ribosomal RNA", at positions 1919 to 2925 of the family's 2925-position model. The record is from RNAcentral. Lineage: Eukaryota; Metazoa; Annelida; Clitellata; Crassiclitellata; Microchaetidae.
CUAAUUCAACGGCCGCGGUAUACUAACCGUGCAAAGGUAGCAUAAUAAUUUGCCCAUUAAUUGUGGGCUAGAAAUGAACGGAUAAACGAAAUAAAAACUGUCUCAUUUAGUUUCAUAAAAAUUAACCUUUAGCCGAAGAGGACUAAAUCCAGUCGAAGGACAAGAAGACCCUAUAGAGCUUUAUUACUAAAAUCAAAUAAUAUGGUUUCAAGAUUCGGUUGGGGCGACCAAGGGUACAAAAAUCACCCUAUAAAAAAAGAUAAAUUAAUCACAUGAGUGAUCCUGAAAAUCAGAUCAUAAGAACAAGCUACCUUAGGGAUAACAGGCUAAUCCUACUAAAGAGUCCCUAUCAAUAGCAGGGAUUGGCACCUCGAUGUUGGCUUAGGGUAUCUUUAUGGCGCAAAAGUCAUAAACAGAUAGUUUGUUCAACUAAUAACUCCCUACAUGAGCUGAGUUCAGACCGGCGUAAGCCAGGUUAGCUUCUAUCCUCGAUAAUAAAAUCUGUUUAUAGUACGAAAGGACCUAAACACGAAUAAUAAUUAUAAAAAAGAAUAAAUAUAAUUAAAAAUUAAACAUAGACAACAGGACACUACC